AUAAAAUUUAUCUGUUCUUAAAAAAAAAAAUGUUUUUAUAAGUUUAAUAUCUGAUAUGUCUCCCAGCCAAAGUCCAUAUAUUAAAUUGCUUUUUGAAACAGGGAGAUGGAGUAGGGGCUUUCUCCGUCCACUCCACGCAUCGACCUAGUAUUGCAUUGCUUCUGGGAACGAUGCACUCCAC
Betta splendens (Siamese fighting fish) is the source of this 181-nucleotide small nuclear RNA. Its record names the gene U2. It matches the Rfam family "U2 spliceosomal RNA". From Rfam's summary of the family: U2 is a small nuclear RNA (snRNA) component of the spliceosome (involved in pre-mRNA splicing). Complementary binding between U2 snRNA (in an area lying towards the 5' end but 3' to hairpin I) and the branchpoint sequence (BPS) of the intron results the bulging out of an unpaired adenosine, on the BPS, which initiates a nucleophilic attack at the intronic 5' splice site, thus starting the first of two transesterification reactions that mediate splicing. The record is from Ensembl. Lineage: Eukaryota; Metazoa; Chordata; Actinopteri; Anabantiformes; Osphronemidae.